GUGGGGAAUAUUGGACAAUGGGCGAAAGCCUGAUCCAGCCAUGCCGCGUGUGUGAAGAAGGUCUUCGGAUUGUAAAGCACUUUAAGUUGGGAGGAAGGGCAGUAAGUUAAUACCUUGCUGUUUUGACGUUACCGACAGAAUAAGCACCGGCUAACUUCGUGCCAGCAGCCGCGGUAAUACGAAGGGUGCAAGCGUUAAUCGGAAUUACUGGGCGUAAAGCGCGCGUAGGUGGUUUUGUAAGUUGGAGGUGAAAUCGCCGGGCUCAACCUGGGAACUGCCUCAAAAACUGCAUGACUAGAGUACGGUAGAGGGUAGUGGAAUUUCCUGUGUAGCGGUGAAAUGCGUAGAUAUAGGAAGGAACACCAGUGGCGAAGGCGACUACCUGGACUGAUACUGACACUGAGGUGCGAAAGCGUGGGAGCAAACAGGAUUAGAAACCCCUGUAGUCC
RNAcentral lists this ribosomal RNA (449 nucleotides) under uncultured bacterium. RNAcentral describes it as "partial 16S ribosomal RNA". It matches the Rfam family "Bacterial small subunit ribosomal RNA", at positions 354 to 796 of the family's 1533-position model. The record is from RNAcentral.